Long non-coding RNA from Xyrauchen texanus (razorback sucker), 319 nucleotides. RefSeq lists it as uncharacterized. The transcript is spliced from 4 exons. The record is from RefSeq and is a predicted model, not a curated record. NCBI's taxonomy places the organism in Eukaryota, Metazoa, Chordata, Actinopteri, Cypriniformes, Catostomidae.
CGGGCAGACCUGAAUGGUGAUGCUGGCUGAGGAAUUUUCCAGACGCCAUUUUCCCUUGCUUCACGGAGAGCAGCAACUGAUACUCAAGCAUUCAGCCUCCUUUUGCACCAGGAACAGCUGCCAAACUGCUUAAAAAGUGGCCGACUUUCUAAAAAUAAUAAAAACAAGCGGUGACUUCUCUUACGAGUGCUUAAACGUUUGCUGAAGCUUGCCAGAAACCAAUUGCCAUACAAUGCUGAAUCCUUGGAUGAGUGUCCAGGAGCCUAGAGGAACACUUUGAGAAUCACGAGGGACAACAGCAGCCAUACCUUCCUCAGGG